RNAcentral lists this ribosomal RNA (253 nucleotides) under uncultured bacterium. RNAcentral's name for it is "partial 16S ribosomal RNA". It matches the Rfam family "Bacterial small subunit ribosomal RNA", at positions 524 to 776 of the family's 1533-position model. The record is from RNAcentral.
UACAGAGGUCCCAAGCGUUGUUCGGAUUCAUUGGGCGUAAAGGGUGCGUAGGCGGCCCGGUAAGUCCGCUGUGAAAGUCGGGGGCUCAACCCUCGAAUGCCGGUGGAUACUGUCGGGCUAGAGUGCGGAAGAGGCGAGUGGAAUUCCUGGUGUAGCGGUGAAAUGCGCAGAUAUCAGGAGGAACACCGAUUGCGAAGGCAGCUCGCUGGGACGUAACUGACGCUGAGACGCGAAAGCGUGGGGAGCAAACAGG